GGGCAUUUGGCCUAGUGGUAUGAUUCUCGCUUUGGGUGCGAGAUGUCCCGAGUUCAAUUCUCAAUAUGCCUA
RNAcentral lists this transfer RNA (72 nucleotides) under Theobroma cacao (cacao). It matches the Rfam family "tRNA". From Rfam's summary of the family: Transfer RNA (tRNA) molecules are approximately 80 nucleotides in length. Their secondary structure includes four short double-helical elements and three loops (D, anti-codon, and T loops). The record is from Rfam by way of RNAcentral. Lineage: Eukaryota; Viridiplantae; Streptophyta; Magnoliopsida; Malvales; Malvaceae.